RNAcentral lists this ribosomal RNA (558 nucleotides) under uncultured eukaryote. RNAcentral describes it as "bacterial SSU rRNA". It matches the Rfam family "Eukaryotic small subunit ribosomal RNA", at positions 20 to 575 of the family's 1831-position model. The record is from RNAcentral.
GUAGUCAUAUGCUUGUCUCAAAGAUUAAGCCAUGCAUUGUCUCAGUACUUGCUUUAUCAAGGCGAAACCGCGAAUGGCUCAUUAAAUCAGUUAUGGUUCACUAGAUCGUAUUCAUUACAUGGAUAACUGUGGUAAUUCUAGAGCUAAUACAUGCACUCAGCUCGGCUGCCUUGUGCAGCGAGCGCAGUUAUUAGAACAAAACUAAUCCGGCCUCGGUCGGUAAACUUGGUGACUCUGAAUAACCGAAGCGGAGCGCUAAGGUCUCGUACCGGCGCCAGAUCUUUCAAGUGUCUGACUUAUCAGCUUGUAGCGAGGUUAUGUUCCUCGCUUGGCUCUCACGGGUGACGGGGAAUUAGGGUCCGAUUCCGGAGAGGGAGCCUGAGAAACGGCUACCACAUCCAAGGAAGGCAGCAGGCGCGCAAAUUACCCAAUCCCACUUCGGGGAGGUAGUGACAAUAAAUACUGAUGCAGGGCUCUUUUGGGUCUUGCAAUUGGAAUGAGUACAAUCUAAAUCUCUUAACGAGGAACAAUUGGGGGGCAAGUCUGGUGCCAGCAGCC